CAUUACCGAGUUUACAACUCCCAAACCCAAUGUGAACGUUACCAAACUGUUGCCUCGGCGGGAUCUCUGCCCCGGGUGCGUCGCAGCCCCGGACCAAGGCGCCCGCCGGAGGACCAACCAAAACUCUUUUUGUAUACCCCCUCGCGGGUUUUUUUAUAAUCUGAGCCUUCUCGGCGCCUCUCGCAGGCGUUUCGAAAAUGAAUCAAAACUUUCAACAACGGAUCUCUUGGUUCUGGCAUCGAUGAAGAACGCAGCGAAAUGCGAUAAGUAAUGUGAAUUGCAGAAUUCAGUGAAUCAUCGAAUCUUUGAACGCACAUUGCGCCCGCCAGUAUUCUGGCGGGCAUGCCUGUCCGAGCGUCAUUUCAACCCUCGAACCCCUCCGGGGGGUCGGCGUUGGGGAUCGGCCCUCCCUUAGCGGGUGGCCGUCUCCGAAAUACAGUGGCGGUCUCGCCGCAGCCUCUCCUGCGCAGUAGUUUGCACACUCGCAUCGGGAGCGCGGCGCGUCCACAGCCGUUAAACACCCAACUUCUGAAAUGU
Molecule: ribosomal RNA, 537 nt
Filed under: Trichoderma afarasin
Lineage: Eukaryota; Fungi; Ascomycota; Sordariomycetes; Hypocreales; Hypocreaceae
Description: eukaryotic LSU rRNA
Rfam family: 5.8S ribosomal RNA (bases 207-360)
Source: RNAcentral